Molecule: long non-coding RNA, 753 nt
Filed under: Oryzias sinensis (Chinese medaka)
Lineage: Eukaryota; Metazoa; Chordata; Actinopteri; Beloniformes; Adrianichthyidae
Description: lncRNA (ENSOSIG00000000190.1)
Source: RNAcentral
AACACGGGUUGAUUAGCAGCAGCUCUUUCUGAGUCAUGACAGCGACUGAAUGAGAUGUGUUCUGAACAUACUGGUUGGAUGUGUGUUUCUGCUAUUUGAAAUGAUCCUGGGAAUCUCUCUGCAGGUUCCAAAAGCUGGAUGAGCGUUCUGAUGAAGGAUUUACGGACCGGCCGGACAGUUUAUGGGGACUCACGUGACGCUCAGAAAAAAGUUGUCAUGACCUCAACACAGCCAGUUCCUCCCUGUCAGCCCCCAGAGGAAGAUGAAGAGGAGGAGACGUUAAAGUUUGGCGGUGGCACCACGUCCUCAGACAUCUCUUCUCCUUACUCUUCUGUCAAGACAGACAGGUCUGAAGAUGCAGAAUUGGAGAAUCUUUCUGCCAUAAGGCAGGUGAGCAGGACUGCAGCAGCCAGCUCAGGGAAGUCCUCUCCGGAUCCCAGAGGUGCUGUGGGAGCCGAUGAAGACGAUGAGGAGGGAUCUUCGUCGCUGAGGCUCCAGGCCCAACACUCCCCUGCUGUGGAUGAAACAGCCUGUGACGGCUCAGUCACCUGUGAGGCAGAACGCAGCUGCAGACACCCACACAUCCUUUGUGGAGGAGCGCAGACUCUGGCUCCUGCUGAUGAUGUGGAGAACAUGUACGAGGAGGUCCAAAUACCUGAGCGGCACAAGUCCAUCAGCUGGAGAUGUGAAGAUCUUUGUGACUCUGGCACGUCCGCUCCACCCGGCAGCAAGAAGGUAAAGUCUCUUUUCUGA